This is a long non-coding RNA of Cygnus olor (mute swan), 3588 nucleotides long. RefSeq lists it as uncharacterized. The transcript is spliced from 5 exons. NCBI's taxonomy places the organism in Eukaryota, Metazoa, Chordata, Aves, Anseriformes, Anatidae. The record is from RefSeq and is a predicted model, not a curated record.
CUUUAUAUUCUAGUAGGUAGGUUGCUUUUUAAAGGUGAUGUAAGAAACACAAAACAUUAAAACAUAACUUCCUAAUGAUGAGACAUUAACAAAGCACCUUAUUUAAACCACACAUUCACUGUAACCCUUGGUUUUGUUAGAUCUCUGAGUGCACUAAUAAGCCUUAAUUGGGCUGAUGAGCUUCAUUCGAGGUCUCCACCCCACAGCCUUUAAGCUCAGCCUAGGUGGUCAGUUUCUGUUUGGGUUGUGUCCAGGGGUGCAGCUGAUUUUGACUCUGUUCCUGAAUUGUUGGGCUUUCCUGGACCUAGUAUAUCACCUGGUCCAAUGCUCACUGGGGUGAUACUAGGAUUUGUUGCCAUCAUGUGUCCCUUAGAGAGCAGCACUUGAUUUUUCUUAUAUACUUCAGAAGCCCUUGUGAAAGGUUUAGUUGGCAAAUUUGGUAGACGUUCAUCGGUUCAUCGCAGAUCUUCUGUUAUAAAUGGGGCUGGGAGAUGAAGAUGGCUUGAAGGAGGAGACUUUACAAAUAGGAUUAGUGGUGAAAGCACAGACAGAAAAGCAUGCUAACCAGGUGGGAGAAUCACAGGCCCUGGAAGCAAAGACAGAAGGGGCAAAGUGCCAUCAGUAGAAAAUUGAGCGAUGCUUGGAAGUCCCUUCAGAGUCCCAUGGGUCUGCAAGCCCUCGUACACCUGGCAGGUCAGCAGCUCCAUCCAAUAGACCCGCCUCUGUCCUCAAGAAAUGCGUACAUGGUCAUGGAGAAUGUAAUCUCCUGCUGCAGGACCAGAGCAUGACCUGGUACAUAAGGUGUGUGGUAGCUACAAUGCUCCCCUGUGUGCUACCACUUCUAGAAGCAUGUGGGAGUAACCUUGUAAGUGAUUCCGAUUAACACAGAUGGCUGUUUCUCUACUACUCCAGCCCUCUCAGCAGAUGGAGUGGGCUUGGCGCUGCGGUGUUAGGAGCUGCAGAGGACGUGUAUGCUUGGUGGAAGCACAGACUGAGUCACUCACAUUUAUGGUGUUCUUCCUGUUGAAAAGAUUAAUGUGGAGAUGAAAAAUAAAGUGCAAAAAAAUUGCUUCACUGUAGAAGUAACCGUGGGUCCUAGUAAGGAGCUAUAAAAAGCAAUACGGUGGAGAUUGAUUUAUGAAGAACAAAAACAGAAGGAAUUCUGCAGAACACAGUUAAAUGAUUACAACUGCUAGGCUUUGAGGAAGGCCAGGUGCUGUUUACAGUGGGACACAAGGGCAUAGCUGAAUUCAGGGGAAUGAAAAUGAGUAUACAGAAUGCUGGCUGAACAUCCCAGAAAUGUGCUCGGUAGUGGGAGCUUUCUUCUGCUUCCCAAAGGGAGUGGGAGAGAGCCCCAGCACUCUGGAUAAAUUGGUUCUGUAUUGAACAAAACUGGGCUAAAGUAUGUCUUAGAACUUCAUGGCUGUGCAGGGUUGUAGGAAGGGGCUCAAUACAGGCUAUUCUGACCUCGCGGAGGUCACAGUGUACCUCACACGGCUGUGCGAAGGCAAGUACUUGCUUCUCCACCUUGGAGAAGGUGUGUGAAGAGCAGCAGGUUCUGAGGAGCUGCAAUUCCUUGUCCUAAAGCAUCUGUCUGUGUUUCUGCUUUAGAUGAAAUUGGAGAAUUGCAUGAACUCUUCCAGCUCUUUAGUGAAUCUUAUUUUUCUUUCCUUAUAGACUAAGCCAGUACUGGCUUGUAUAAAUUGAAGUUUUUCUCAAUUCCUGGAAACUUCUGAGAGGAUUUUAGGGUUAAACUGGGACCAGAUGAUCAGGCUUUUUUCUGGUGACAGGUUAGUUUGGGGAAUUGGAAGGGAAAGCAUGUGACAGAUUUUGGGAAUAAAUUCUAGGGAUCUAGAGUACGUGCAUACACCUGUCUCUGAGAUGGCAAGGACUAUUUUCAGUUAGUUCAUCCCCUGUUCAGGAAACCCCUCAGUUUCCUUGGAAGGACUUCAGCUCUGUUCCUUCCUCAAGGUAAUCAGUGCAGUCAUAUUGAUUCACUGAAUAAAAUAGGCCUUGAAUAUCAGAUAAUUUACCACCCAGAUAGAAAUCAGCAGCAGUGCCAAUUAAGUCAAAGUCAGUCUGAAAGCGGUAGGAAAGUAGAACGAGACCCAACCACUUAACAGUGAAGCAUAUAUGAUUUUUGAAGUAUUUUUUCUUCCUAGGAACCAUCAUGGAGCAAUGCUUGAUAGGUCAAAAAAUAACAAAAAGCUGAAAGGUACAACGAUAAAAACUUCAGAAAGGGAUGUGCAGCCUACUGAACACAGGGCAAUCUUAGUCUCAUUCAAGCACCUCUUCCAAGUUUUUUCCCCUCACCACCCCCUCUUCCACUGUAGCCUGUAUCCCAGUUCAUGUAACACCGCCUUGACAGUUUGACUUCUGAGAUUUGACUUAAAUUAAUGGUCUAGAUGAGCAACCCAGACACAUUUCCAGGUAUCUGUGAGUUCCUAAUUGAUUUCUGCACAGAAAGCACACCAUUCGCAUUCAGUGUCCAUGCAGACAUCCACAGUUAGGUAAUGCAUUUUCUGAUCUCUUACUGUUUUAGAACAUGUUGUUUUGGGGGGAACAGCAAAGCCCAUGAGAAUUGCUGAAUUCUGCUUGUGUGGGUACGAAACCAAACCACAUGUUCUGUAUGUGUCCUGGAUGCAAAUCCAGGAGCUGCUGCACUGGUCCAUUGCAAAGAACAGAACAGUUCUCUCCUACAGGGGCCAACACAUAUUCUUUAGAAACAGGUUUAAAAGUCUCUUUACUUAAUGACUCAGGUUGGAUCAGUGAAUAAUACUUCUUCCGUGCCCUGUGUGGAGAGCAGUUUUUGUCUGAACUGAGAACAAACUAUGAUUUUUAUCUUUAUUGGUGUAACAACACAUACUGUGCUUCAUCAGACAGUCAUCUCUAACCUUUUGUUGGCUUUUACAAAUUUACUGUACUGCACCAUUGUCACAGCCCAUGCCGAUUGGUUUUCUGUUUUGCUCUUUUCAUCUUCCCAGAAUUUCUAACGCGUAAAGUUUCCUCUGAUUUCUGCCACAUCAUCUGGAUUUGGAGCCUGACUAAAUGCCACAAUUUUAGCCUGUGGAGGACUUUCGAUGUCAUAUUGCUGAAUUGGGCUUUUUUUCCUCCAUUGUUCUGUAAAACGUUCCUCUAGGUCACUUACUGCUUUUCCAGAAGAUGCUAACGCUUGAUAAGGGAAUAAGGGAAUCAUACUGGUAACAAGUCCUGUGACUGCCUACCCUAUGCCUCUUGAUAAAUUGUUUUAGAAUUUUUUGGAGAAACUUUUCCAAUGGACUCUGAGGACUUUUUAAUUUUCUGGUCAAUGUGGCAGAUUUUUGUGACUUUAAUGCAUGAUGAUAGUGUUGAAAUUUCAUUUUUGUACCAGCGCUGGUCAUGCUAAUUGUUAUGCUUUUUAAAAUUGUCUUGCUGCUUAGCACCUAAUGUGGUCUUCCCUUGUAUUAUACAGCAAGUAAGAUUAUUUACACCUCUUAAUGUUUCUUUAUCUACAUCUGAUGGGUGACUCUGGGACAAUGCUAGCUGCAUAUUUUUCUUUGUUAUUUAUAAAUAAGCACAUUUGUUUUGGCUUCACGCCAGGUCAGUCAG